UUUGGAGUCUAUGUCAGGUAAGCUAG
This 26-nucleotide non-coding RNA is filed under the name Cricetulus griseus (Chinese hamster). The record is from RNAcentral. Lineage: Eukaryota; Metazoa; Chordata; Mammalia; Rodentia; Cricetidae.